GAUGAACGCUGGCGGCGUGCCUAAUACAUGCCAAGUAGAACGCUGAAGCUUGGUGCUUGCACCNNGCGGAUGAGUUGCGAACGGGUGAGUAACGCGUAGGUAACCUGCCUGGUAGCGGGGGAUAACUAUUGGAAACGAUAGCUAAUACCGCAUGACAACAGUUAUUGCAUGAUAGCUGUUUAAAAGGGGCAAUUGCUCCACUACCAGAUGGACCUGCGUUGUAUUAGCUAGUUGGUGAGGUAACGGCUCACCAAGGCGACGAUACAUAGCCGACCUGAGAGGGUGAUCGGCCACACUGGGACUGAGACACGGCCCAGACUCCUACGGGAGGCAGCAGUAGGGAAUCUUCGGCAAUGGACGGAAGUCUGACCGAGCAACGCCGCGUGAGUGAAGAAGGUUUUCGGAUCGUAAAGCUCUGUUGUAAGAGAAGAACGAGUGUGAGAGUGGAAAGUUCACACUGUGACGGUAUCUUACCAGAAAGGGACGGCUAACUACGUGCCAGCAGCCGCGGUAAUACGUAGGUCCCGAGCGUUGUCCGGAUUUAUUGGGCGUAAAGCGAGCGCAGGCGGUUAGAUAAGUCUGAAGUUAAAGGCUGUGGCUUAACCAUAGUACGCUUUGGAAACUGUUUAACUUGAGUGCAAGAGGGGAGAGUGGAAUUCCAUGUGUAGCGGUGAAAUGCGUAGAUAUAUGGAGGAACACCGGUGGCGAAAGCGGCUCUCUGGCUUGUAACUGACGCUGAGGCUCGAAAGCGUGGGGAGCAAACAGG
RNAcentral lists this ribosomal RNA (766 nucleotides) under uncultured Streptococcus sp. RNAcentral describes it as "bacterial SSU rRNA". It matches the Rfam family "Bacterial small subunit ribosomal RNA", at positions 28 to 776 of the family's 1533-position model. Lineage: Bacteria; Bacillati; Bacillota; Bacilli; Lactobacillales; Streptococcaceae. The record is from RNAcentral.